CGUGAGCGGCGGACGGGUGAGUAACGCGUGGGUAACCUGCCUCAUACAGGGGGAUAACAGUUGGAAACGGCUGCUAAUACCGCAUAAGCGCACAGUACCGCAUGGUACGGUGUGAAAAACUCCGGUGGUAUGAGAUGGACCCGCGUCUGAUUAGGUAGUUGGUGGGGUAACGGCCUACCAAGCCGACGAUCAGUAGCCGCCUGAGAGGGUGACGGCCACAUUGGGACUGAGACACGGCCCAA
This 242-nucleotide ribosomal RNA is filed under the name uncultured bacterium. Its description in RNAcentral is "partial 16S ribosomal RNA". It matches the Rfam family "Bacterial small subunit ribosomal RNA", at positions 90 to 334 of the family's 1533-position model. The record is from RNAcentral.